RNAcentral lists this ribosomal RNA (255 nucleotides) under uncultured bacterium. RNAcentral describes it as "partial 16S ribosomal RNA". It matches the Rfam family "Bacterial small subunit ribosomal RNA", at positions 8 to 254 of the family's 1533-position model. The record is from RNAcentral.
AGAGUUUGAUCAUGGCUCAGGAUAAACGCUAGCGGCAGGCCUAACACAUGCAAGUCGAGGGGCAGCGUGACGGGUAGCAAUACCUGUUGACGGCGACCGGCGCACGGGUGCGUAACGCGUAUGUAACCUACCGUUCACAGGGGGAUAGUCAGAGGAAACUUUGAAUAAUACCGCAUAAACAGGGUCCGCAUCGGAAUAUUGUUAAAGGUGGCGACACGGUGAACGAUGGGCAUGCGUUCGAUUAGAUAGUUGGAG